CGGGUGAGUAACGCGUGGGUAAUCUACCCAUGAGGUGGAGGAUAGCCUCGGGAAACCGGGGGUAAUACUGCAUACGUCUCGACUGACAUAAGUCUAUCGAGGGAAAGGCGGGGAUCUUCGGACCUGUCGCCUCUGGAUGAGCCCGCGUCCGAUUAGCUUGUUGGUGAGGUAAUGGCUCACCAAGGCAUCGAUCGGUAGCCGGCCUGAGAGGGUGAACGGCCACAUUGGGACUGAGACACGGCCCAGACUCCUACGGGAGGCAGCAGUGGGGAAUUUUGGGCAAUGGGCGAAAGCCUGACCCAGCGACGCCGCGUGGAGGAUGAAGGCCUUCGGGUUGUAAACUCCUGUCAGGUGGGAAGAAGAGUUCUACGGAUAAUACUCGUAGGAAAUUGACGGUACCACCAAAGGAAGCCCCGGCUAACUCCGUGCCAGCAGCCGCGGUAAUACGGAGGGGGCAAGCGUUAUUCGGAUUUACUGGGCGUAAAGCGCACGUAGGCGGCAAUGUAAGUCACAGGUGAAAGCCCUCGGCUCAACCGAGGAAUUGCCUGCGAAACUGUAUUGCUUGAGUCCGG
RNAcentral lists this ribosomal RNA (572 nucleotides) under uncultured bacterium. RNAcentral's name for it is "bacterial SSU rRNA". It matches the Rfam family "Bacterial small subunit ribosomal RNA", at positions 103 to 651 of the family's 1533-position model. The record is from RNAcentral.